This 474-nucleotide ribosomal RNA is filed under the name uncultured bacterium. Its description in RNAcentral is "bacterial SSU rRNA". It matches the Rfam family "Bacterial small subunit ribosomal RNA", at positions 335 to 799 of the family's 1533-position model. The record is from RNAcentral.
ACUCCUACGGGAGGCAGCAGUGGGGAAUAUUGCACAAUGGGCGCAAGCCUGAUGCAGCCAUGCCGCGUGUGUGAAGAAGGCCUUCGGGUUGUAAAGCACUUUCAGUUGUGAGGAAGGUGGUGGUCGUUAAAUAGCGGCAUCAUUUGACGUUAGCAACAGAAGAAGACACCGGCUAACUCCGUGCCAGCAGCCGCGGUAAUACGGAGGGUGCGAGCGUUAAUCGGAAUUACUGGGCGUAAAGCGCAUGCAGGUGGUUUGUUAAGUCAGAUGUGAAAGCCCGGGGCUCAACCUCGGAACUGCAUUUGAAACUGGCAGACUAGAGUACUGUAGAGGGGGUAGAAUUUCAGGUGUAGCGGUGAAAUGCGUAGAGAUCUGAAGGAAUACCGGUGGCGAACGGNGGCCCCCUGGACAGAUACUGACACUCAGAUGCGAAAGCGUGGGGAGCAAACAGGAUUAGAUACCCUGGUAGCUACG